UGGGGAAUAUUGGACAAUGGGCGCAAGCCUGAUCCAGCCAUGCCGCGUGGGUGAUGAAGGCCCUAGGGUUGUAAAGCCCUUUCGGCGGGGAAGAUAAUGACGGUACCCGCAGAAGAAGCCCCGGCUAACUUCGUGCCAGCAGCCGCGGUAAUACGAAGGGGGCUAGCGUUGCUCGGAAUCACUGGGCGUAAAGCGCACGUAGGCGGCUUUUUAAGUCAGGGGUGAAAUCCUGGAGCUCAACUCCAGAACUGCCUUUGAUACUGAGAAGCUUGAGUCCGGGAGAGGUGAGUGGAACUGCGAGUGUAGAGGUGAAAUUCGUAGAUAUUCGCAAGAACACCAGUGGCGAAGGCGGCUCACUGGCCCGGUACUGACGCUGAGGUGCGAAAGCGUGGGGAGCAAACA
Molecule: ribosomal RNA, 402 nt
Filed under: uncultured Hyphomicrobiales bacterium
Lineage: Bacteria; Pseudomonadati; Pseudomonadota; Alphaproteobacteria; Hyphomicrobiales
Description: uncultured Rhizobiales bacterium partial 16S ribosomal RNA
Rfam family: Bacterial small subunit ribosomal RNA
Source: RNAcentral